ACCGCCAGCUAAGGUCCCAAAGUCAUGGUUAAGUGGGAAACGAUGUGGGAAGGCCCAGACAGCCAGGAUGUUGGCUUAGAAGCAGCCAUCAUUUAAAGAAAGCGUAAUAGCUCACUGGUCGAGUCGGCCUGCGCGGAAGAUGUAACGGGGCUAAACCAUGCACCGAAGCUGCGGCAGCGACGCUUAUGCGUUGUUGGGUAGGGGAGCGUUCUGUAAGCCUGCGAAGGUGUACUGUGAGGUAUGCUGGAGGUAUCAGAAGUGCGAAUGCUGACAUAAGUAACGAUAAAGCGGGUGAAAAGCCCGCUCGCCGGAAGACCAAGGGUUCCUGUCCAACGUUAAUCGGGGCAGGGUGAGUCGACCCCUAAGGCGAGGCCGAAAGGCGUAGUCGAUGGGAAACAGGUUAAUAUUCCUGUACUUGGUGUUACUGCGAAGGGGGGACGGAGAAGGCUAUGUUGGCCGGGCGACGGUUGUCCCGGUUUAAGCGUGUAGGCUGGUUUUCCAGGCAAAUCCGGAAAAUCAAGGCUGAGGCGUGAUGACGAGGCACUACGGUGCUGAAGCAACAAAUGCCCUGCUUCCAGGAAAAGCCUCUAAGCAUCAGGUAACAUCAAAUCGUACCCCAAACCGACACAGGUGGUCAGGUAGAGAAUACCAAGGCGCUUGAGAGAACUCGGGUGAAGGAACUAGGCAAAAUGGUGCCGUAACUUCGGGAGAAGGCACGCUGAUAUGUAGGUGAAGUCCCUUGCGGAUGGAGCUGAAAUCAGUCGAAGAUACCAGCUGGCUGCAACUGUUUAUUAAAAACACAGCACUGUGCAAACACGAAAGUGGACGUAUACGGUGUGACGCCUGCCCGGUGCCGGAAGGUUAAUUGAUGGGGUUAGCGGUAACGCGAAGCUCUUGAUCGAAGCCCCGGUAAACGGCGGCCGUAACUAUAACGGUCCUAAGGUAGCGAAAUUCCUUGUCGGGUAAGUUCCGACCUGCACGAAUGGCGUAAUGAUGGCCAGGCUGUCUCCACCCGAGACUCAGUGAAAUUGAACUCGCUGUGAAGAUGCAGUGUACCCGCGGCAAGACGGAAAGACCCCGUGAACCUUUACUAUAGCUUGACACUGAACAUUGAGCCUUGAUGUGUAGGAUAGGUGGGAGGCUUUGAAGUGUGGACGCCAGUCUGCAUGGAGCCGACCUUGAAAUACCACCCUUUAAUGUUUGAUGUUCUAACGUUGGCCCCUUACCGGGGUUGCGGACAGUGUCUGGUGGGUAGUUUGACUGGGGCGGUCUCCUCCUAAAGAGUAACGGAGGAGCACGAAGGUUGGCUAAUCCUGGUCGGACAUCAGGAGGUUAGUGCAAUGGCAUAAGCCAGCUUGACUGCGAGCGUGACGGCGCGAGCAGGUGCGAAAGCAGGUCAUAGUGAUCCGGUGGUUCUGAAUGGAAGGGCCAUCGCUCAACGGAUAAAAGGUACUCCGGGGAUAACAGGCUGAUACCGCCCAAGAGUUCAUAUCGACGGCGGUGUUUGGCACCUCGAUGUCGGCUCAUCACAUCCUGGGGCUGAAGUAGGUCCCAAGGGUAUGGCUGUUCGCCAUUUAAAGUGGUACGCGAGCUGGGUUUAGAACGUCGUGAGACAGUUCGGUCCCUAUCUGCCGUGGGCGCUGGAGAACUGAGGGGGGCUGCUCCUAGUACGAGAGGACCGGAGUGGACGCAUCACUGGUGUUCGGGUUGUCAUGCCAAUGGCACUGCCCGGUAGCUAAAUGCGGAAGAGAUAAGUGCUGAAAGCAUCUAAGCACGAAACUUGCCCCGAGAUGAGUUCUCCCUGACUCUUUAAGGGUCCUGAAGGAACGUUGAAGACGACGACGUUGAUAGGCCGGGUGUGUAAGCGCAGCGAUGCGUUGAGCUAACCGGUACUAAUGAACCGUGAGGCUUAACCUU
This 1917-nucleotide ribosomal RNA is filed under the name Escherichia coli BIDMC 9. RNAcentral's name for it is "bacterial LSU rRNA". It matches the Rfam family "Bacterial large subunit ribosomal RNA", at positions 1031 to 2925 of the family's 2925-position model. Lineage: Bacteria; Pseudomonadati; Pseudomonadota; Gammaproteobacteria; Enterobacterales; Enterobacteriaceae. The record is from RNAcentral.